UACAGGGGGGGCAAGCGUUGUUCGGAAUUACUGGGCGUAAAGGGUCUGUAGGUGGCCAACUAAGUCAGACGUGAAAUCCCUCAGCUUAACUGGGGAACUGCGUCUGAUACUGGAUGGCUUGAGUGUGGGAGAGGAAUGCGGAAUUCCAGGUGUAGCGGUGAAAUGCGUAGAUAUCUGGAGGAACACCGGUGGCGAAGGCGGCAUUCUGGACCAUAACUGACACUGAGAGACGAAAGCCAGGGGAGCAAACGGG
RNAcentral lists this ribosomal RNA (253 nucleotides) under Acidobacterium sp. RNAcentral describes it as "partial 16S ribosomal RNA". It matches the Rfam family "Bacterial small subunit ribosomal RNA", at positions 524 to 776 of the family's 1533-position model. Lineage: Bacteria; Pseudomonadati; Acidobacteriota; Terriglobia; Terriglobales; Acidobacteriaceae. The record is from RNAcentral. RNAcentral also lists the same sequence under 3 other names.